This 914-nucleotide long non-coding RNA is filed under the name Lonchura striata (white-rumped munia). Its description in RNAcentral is "domestica (Bengalese finch) lncRNA (ENSLSDG00000003792.1)". Lineage: Eukaryota; Metazoa; Chordata; Aves; Passeriformes; Estrildidae. The record is from RNAcentral.
AUUUUUUUUUCUGUAUUUUUCGGGAUUUUUUUGGGAUUUUAUUUCGAUUUUUUAAGAUUUAUUUGGAAUUCUUGGGGGAUUUUUUGGAAAUUUUUGGGAGAUUUUUUCUGGGUUUUUUUCGGAUUUUUUUGAGAUUUUUAUUCGGUGUUUUUGGGAUUUUUUCCGUAUUUUUGGGGGAAUUUUUUGAGAUUUUAUUUCGAUUUUUUUAGAUUUUUUUGGGGGGGUUUAUUUCGAUUUUUGGGGAUUUUUAAAGGGUUUUAUUUCGAGUUUUGGAGGGAUUUUUAAAUGUGUUUUUUUGAGAUUUUUAUUCUGUGUUUUUGGGAUUUUUUUUCUGUAUUUUUCGGGAUUUUUUUCGGGAUUUUUUGAGAUUUUAUUUCGAUUUUUGGGGGAUUUUUAAAGGGUUUUAUUUCGAUUUUUGGGGGAUUUUUAAAGGGUAUUUUUUGAGGUUUUUAUUCUGUGUUUUUGGGAUUUUUUUUCGGGAUUUUUUUGAGAUUUUAUUUCGAUUUUUUUUUAGAUGUAUUUGGGAUUUUUGGGGGGAUUUUUUUGAAAUUUUUGGGAGAUUUUUUUCUGGGUUUUUUUCGGAUUUUUUUGAGAUUUUUUUUCUGUAUUUUCCCGAAUUUUUAGGAUUUUUGGGAAGUUUUUCGGAUUUUUGGGGAAAAAUUUUAGGAUUUUUUUUUAAUUUAUUUUUGGGGGAUUUUUGGAUAUUUUUUUUCCUGGGAUUUUUUGGGGAUUUUGGGGAAUUUUCGGGAGAAUUUUGUGGAAAUUUUUAGGGAUUUUCGGCGCCAAAAACACACCACUCAAUGAAUGCAUUAAUUAAUUAAUUAAUUAAUUAAAUCUUUAUUAAUUUUGGGGGUCCCGGGUCCUUCCCCUCCCCCCCCAAUAAACGCUGCUGCCCCUCCCCCCCCGCGUGGCUU